Molecule: ribosomal RNA, 530 nt
Filed under: uncultured archaeon
Lineage: Archaea
Description: partial 16S ribosomal RNA
Rfam family: Archaeal small subunit ribosomal RNA
Source: RNAcentral
GGAGAACCUGCCCUCNGGAGGGGGAUAACCCCGGGAAACUGGAGANUAAUACCCCNUANGUCUAGAAUGCUGGAAUGCUUCUAGGCCCAAAGCUCCGGCGCCUGAGGAUGGCUCUGCGGCUUAUCNGGUUGUAGUGAGAGUAACGUCCUCACUANCCUAUGACGGGUACGGGCCCUGANAGGGGAUGCCCGGAGAUGGACUCUGAGACACNAGUCCAGGCCCUACGGGGCGCAGCAGGCGCGAAAACUCCGCAAUGCUCGAAAGAGUGACGGGGGGAUUCCAAGUGCCUACGCUUAGCGUAGGCUGUUCAGAUGCCUAAAAAGCAUCUGGAGUAAGGGCUGGGUAAGACGGGUGCCAUCUGUGGCAGCAGCCGAAGAUUUGGUUUGCUACUGCAAGGCAUAAGCCGCCGCGNUNAUACCCGCAGCCCGAGUGGUAGUCGAUUUUAUGGGGCCUAAAGCGUCCGUNUCCGGUCUGAAUAAUGCUUGGGUAAAUCGUCUGGCUUANCAGACGAAUUCCGGGUAGACUGUCAA